GGAUCAAUUAAUUGGUCGUGCCUCUGGUACGUACUGAUUUUAUUGGUUUCUCCCUUCUGACGAAUCAUGAUGUCAUUAAUUUGGUGUUUUGGGGAAUUUGGACUGUUACUUUGAAAAAAUUAGAGUGUUUAAAGCAAGCUAACGCUUGAAUACAUUAGCAUGGAAUAAUGAAAUAGGACGUUCGAUCCUAUUUUGUUGGUUUCUAGGAUUGACGUA
This 216-nucleotide ribosomal RNA is filed under the name Campeiostachys nutans. Its description in RNAcentral is "Elymus nutans partial small subunit ribosomal RNA". The stretch from base 47 to 216 matches the Rfam family "Eukaryotic small subunit ribosomal RNA", at positions 693 to 864 of the family's 1831-position model. The record is from RNAcentral. Lineage: Eukaryota; Viridiplantae; Streptophyta; Magnoliopsida; Poales; Poaceae.